RNAcentral lists this ribosomal RNA (264 nucleotides) under uncultured bacterium. RNAcentral describes it as "partial small subunit ribosomal RNA". It matches the Rfam family "Bacterial small subunit ribosomal RNA", at positions 26 to 285 of the family's 1533-position model. The record is from RNAcentral.
AGAACGAACGCUGGCGGCGUGGAUAAGACAUGCAAGUCGAACGCUGACAUUUAGGUAGCAAUAUUUGAAUGUCGGAGUGGCGCAAGGGUGUGUAACACGUGGGCAAUCUGCCGUGAAGACUGGAAUAACUCGCUGAAAGGCGAGCUAAUACCGGAUGUGAACGCAAGUUCAAAGUUGGGGACCGCAAGGCCUGACGCUUUACGAUGAGCCCGCGGCCUAUCAGCUAGUUGGUGAGGUAACGGCUCACCAAGGCUAAGACGGGUA